AAACUUUUCAGCAAUGGGGA
Molecule: ribosomal RNA, 20 nt
Filed under: Eimeria bovis
Lineage: Eukaryota; Apicomplexa; Conoidasida; Eucoccidiorida; Eimeriidae
Description: partial 5.8S rRNA
Source: RNAcentral